Molecule: RNase P RNA, 386 nt
Filed under: Gammaproteobacteria bacterium
Lineage: Bacteria; Pseudomonadati; Pseudomonadota; Gammaproteobacteria
Description: RNase P RNA component class A
Rfam family: Bacterial RNase P class A
About the family: Ribonuclease P (RNase P) is a ubiquitous endoribonuclease, found in archaea, bacteria and eukarya as well as chloroplasts and mitochondria. Its best characterised activity is the generation of mature 5'-ends of tRNAs by cleaving the 5'-leader elements of precursor-tRNAs. Cellular RNase Ps are ribonucleoproteins.
Source: RNAcentral
CGAGUCGGUCAGACGGUCGCUGGAAAGCCCCUUAAAAAGGCGUUCUGGAGGAAAGUCCGGGCUCCAUAGGACAGGAUGCCAGGUAACGCCUGGGGGGCGUGAGCCCACGGAAAGUGCCACAGAAAAUAUACCGCCGGCGGCCUAUGGCCGCAGGUAAGGGUGAAAUGGUGCGGUAAGAGCGCACCGCGCCGGUCAACGCCGGUGGCAGGGUAAACCCCAUCCGGAGCAAGACCAAAUAGAAAAGCAUGCCGCUACGGGCGGCGCAGCGUGGUCCGCGCUAGCUUUCGGGUAGGUUGCUAGAGGCGUUCGGAGACGGACGUCCCAGAUGAAUGGCCGUCACCGCCUUCCGGGCGGGACAGAACCCGGCUUAUCGACCGACUCGCCCU